AAGCAUAUGAAAUGAAAGGAGAUUCUUGUUGCGAUCCUAAUUAUUUCUAUGACCUGCUUUCCAUCUUCGUGGCUGAAUCUGAAAUCACCUUAUCAGACAUGGGUAAAGCUUUGUAUGUGUGCAUAAUAUAUAUCUCGAUAUAGAUUUGAGUAGUUAUUAACCAUAUUUGAUUAAUUGAUGGGUUUUAGUUAUUUAUUCUUCUUCUCUUAAUUUGUAGGGACAAAGUAUCUGAUAUAGAUUUUCUUAAAAUUUGUGCACUUUGCAUCAACAUUAAAGGAGCCUCCUCAAGGUAUA
This 294-nucleotide long non-coding RNA is filed under the name Carica papaya (papaya). RNAcentral's name for it is "long non-coding RNA (CPAP_LNC016567)". Lineage: Eukaryota; Viridiplantae; Streptophyta; Magnoliopsida; Brassicales; Caricaceae. The record is from RNAcentral.